RNAcentral lists this long non-coding RNA (6870 nucleotides) under Salvia miltiorrhiza (redroot sage). RNAcentral's name for it is "long non-coding RNA (SMIL_LNC008199)". Lineage: Eukaryota; Viridiplantae; Streptophyta; Magnoliopsida; Lamiales; Lamiaceae. The record is from RNAcentral.
UUCAGGACAAAUUUUAUAACGAGGCGCAUCCAUAUUUUUGCAGAUCAAGUGCGGUGGACAGGACCGGCAACAUUCUUUACUUACAUCUUAGAACGACUAACAACGUUGACCAUUUUUUCGUCUAAGUGGCGUACGGUAUAGUUUGAUUACCUUGAUAUAGAUGAGAGUUGCUUAUGAGAGGUGGAAAAGCGGUGAGAGCUGAAACCGUUUUUAGUUGAUUAUAUAUAUAAGAAGAGAAUGUUUGCAGUUUUUUCAUGUUAUCUUCUCAUAAGUUUCACAUUUCUGUAAACAAAGAAGCAGCACAUUUUUGUACAGCUGGUUAACGCUCUUUUGUUUUUAGCGUAUGCAAUUUUGUCGUUCCAAAUAUUUCUGUGUGGAUUUUGAUUAUUCGAUGAAUUUGGUUGUACUUUUUCCCUAGUAUAUUGCAGGAUCAACUUCUUUUUUUCUUCGUAUGUAAACAGCUACAAUAUGUAAAUGAAUGUUUAUUAUACUUAUGGAUAAUUGGUGUGUGAAUGCAUGAACUUUACUCAUUUUUUGGUAUUUAACAUGAACUUUAAAUCCUAAUUAUAAAUACAUGAGCUUUACUCAUUUUUGGUAUUUAACAUAAACUUUAAAAUAUAGUUAUAAAUACAUGAACUUUAAACUUAUUCAAUUUGUGACAUAAUUUUCAACUUAACACUACCUAUAUAUCUUAUAUAGGUUUCAAAUAUGACUAUAAGAUGACGGUAGUGUUUUAGUCAUGGUCUUAUCCUAUCACCCCCUCAAUGCUAAGUUCAAAUCUUGAGCUUAACAUUUUAAAAACAAGGUAAAAGCAUGAUUUAGUAUUUUUCUUUUUUGUAUUUUUUUAAGUUAUGUAUUUAUUUUCUUCUUGUUGGGGAUCCAUUCCCGUUUUAGUCAUGGUCUUAUCCUAUCAACCCCUCAAUGCUAAGUUCAAAUCUUGAGCUUAACAUUUUAAAGCCGAAAUCCUAAAAGCAUUCACAAUAGGGGCUUAUAUCGCUUGAGCCCUGCACCGCUGCUGGGAGGAUAGUGGAUUGAAGUGAGGCANGCCUUUGCGUCGCUGGGCGUAGAAGAGGGUAGAGGAGAGGCGCGUGCAACACCUUAGGGGGGGGGGGGGGGGAUGAGAUGAACCCAACUAUGAGAUGGGGCUCGAUUGCUGCAAAGCCCGUAGCUUGAAGGGAGGGGCCCACCUGCGAACCCGGAAGCUUGGCUCACGGGUGCGUGGAUGUUGAAAUGUUUUAAAGUUUGUUUUCAAGUUCAAUUACAUGAUGAUCUUGUAAAUUGGGCCAAUCUGGCAUGAUGGCCUGUUCAUGGUUGGGUUGGCCUGAGCAUUUUUGCAAUCCAAUUUAAGUUCGGGCCAGGCUAGCCCACUCCUACUCUAUACAUUUAGCCCAACAAAGAGAGAAUGUGACGUAAGGUGGAAUGCCUAUACGAGUAAGAAGUAUCCAAAGGUCUUCUUAUUUGUUCUUCUGUGGAUAGAAUUGGGGAGAAUAUAUAUAAGCUUCAUCUAUAUGUUUGUUUAAUUUGUGGGCAAUUUGCUCAUGAAUACUUUAACCCAAAUUUCACUGGAAUGAUGAGUAACCAUUUUAGAUAAACGAGUUGCCAUUUUUGAAGAAGCGAGAGAGGGUCAAAAAUCUGUUUAGUACAUAUUCGAUUCAUAAAUUUAGAAAAAAGCUUAACUUAAUAGAAUAAUGACAGACCUUAGAUACAACACAAGAGAUUUAUUCAUGGAAGCUUUGCAAGUCCCAAAGUUACCACAAACAAAUUAAAUUAUGACGAGCAUUAACGUUGAGUAAAAAUAAAACUAUUCACAAACACAACCUUGUACAGAAGCUUGGAAUCCCCAUGGCAAAAGCACACUCCAAGUUCAGAACCAAAUUCCCAGUUACUUUCAGUCUCCUUACAUGGUUUGCUUAUGCAACAGUGGAUCAGAAAUGAUUUGGGGUUCGAAAUAGGGCUUCACGUAACGAGCAAGCAAAUCUGCAUAAAUCUCAUAGCGGGCAGUCAUGCGAAAUCCCCACUUGUCCUUCAGUUGCCGGCAGAGGUUGAGAUCCAUGUCCGAUAUCAGCAAGCCAUCCUUGUGACGGGAUAGAGAUGGCGUGCAAGAGGAAUCGGGUGCUGAUAUGUAGCUGGAACCGUAGAAAUGUCCAAAAUCUGUAUGCUGUGGCUUCCCAUCUCCUGAGGUGAAUGGAUUUGGGAAAUGUUCAGUCCCAAUACGAUUGAUCGAACAUACAAAGUAACUGUUGGCUAUGGCUGCAUUACGUGCCUGCAAAAGUACAUACAUGAAUUUAACCGAUCUAGCACUCAAUACAUCUCAAGAAUUGCAAAAGUAAUAUGUUAGUACAAACAAAAAGUGGAAGGGUGAAAGGCUACCUCAAUGGGCCACAUUGGUUCGCUUAGUUCACCGACAGUUGCUGAUGGGUUAAAAACAAUCUCAGCACCAUUUAAGCCGAAAGCUAGCCAGUUAAGAGGGUGAUGUCUUCCAUAACAUAUAUUGACAGCAAUCUUUCCAUAAGCUGUCUCAAACACAGGAUGCCCAGUAUUCCCUUCCAUAUAGUACGUGCUUUCAUUAAAAUCCCCAACUCUAGGUAUGUGAUUCUGCAACGAUUACAUUCAGAGACACGUUCGUGUGAAAACAAUACGUAGACCAAAUGUGUGAUGCAACAUUUUACCUUCCUGUGCUUCCCGAUUAUAUUACCAUGAUUUCCAAUUAUCACGGAAGUGUUCCAGAGUGUCUCCCCAUGGUUCACAUCCCUUUCAAGGAUGGGGCUUACUAUAACCAUAUUGUACCUCCGAGCAAACUCCUGAAGAAAUUUUGUCGAUUCUCCAUCUAUUGGCUCUGCAAACUCACACCAUUUCUUCUCGCGAGUGCAGAAUGCAAAUGGCAUCGUCCAUGCCUCCUGCAUUGAUGGUCUGUAGUUAAUCCCCUAUAGCCAUCCAAAGUUUGUGAUUGUUUAUGGAAAAAUACCUGCAAACAUAAUAUGUUGACUCCAGAAGCGCCUGCAGCUUCAAUGAUCGGUGUCAAUUUCUGAAAUAUGCCCCUUUUCUGAUCAAGAAAUGGUUCUGUAGUUGGAAGAGCUAUAGAAUUCUGAACCAGGCCCACCCUCACAUUGCGAGGUUCUCUCAGUGAUUCAGUAUCAGCACGAAACGAAAAUGCCUGCAUAUAUAUGCAACGAAACAAAUAUCAACCAACUGAUGUUACAAUUACAGCGACACAAAAGCAGUAACUCAUAGUUUCCAUGAUAAUCUCUAAAUAUUCCAUACACAUCCAUUGAUUCAAGAUGAAAGGAAACUAAUAGCAUCUCAAUAAUAUGUGUUUUUUGGCAUCCAAUCAAGUGCAAAACAUCACUCCAUGUUUUCAAGAUAACUAAUUUAGAGGCACACUUCAGUGCAUCCGCCCUAGUUAAAUCCUAAUUGUGACUACUAAACACUAAUUGGGGACUAGUAAACUUUAAUCAGGACCAAUAAACCCUCGUUGGGGAUUAGUGAACCCUAAUUGUAUUUAAUUAGGCGGAUGGUGCAUCCGAGUGUACACAAGUUUCUGCCACUAAAUUUAAAGGCCAUCAGGUAUUCUAUGAUUAACAGACCAUCACUUCAGCAACAAAUUGGUUUGAUUGUGUACUUUGGAAUAGUAGGAUUAAUUGUUAUGAACACAAAUUGAAUGAAAAGAGUGAAAAAUUACUUCUUCAAGUUGACAUCACCGAAAAAAAAUGAGGAAUCACACACGCGCGCACAUACCUGAAGAUCAAAAUCAUGUUCUACAGAAAGGGAUUUGGCAGGCUCGGGAAGAGCAACAGAAUCAAGCGUUCUUCCACAGUUUAGCCCAAUAAGCAAUCGGCUAGCUUCCUGUCGCAACCGAUAGUACCAAUAAAAUUUAUGUAAAUUCCAUCGAACAGUUGAUAUUCAACUCAAAAUCCAACAGAAUUAGGCUCACGAAAAAAUCGGAGGGAUUUGCAAUUAGAAAAAAAAAUAUGGUGUUGAUCUGACCUGAAAAAGGUGAGGAGGAAGGGAGGACUGGAGGAGGCGGUGCAAAGAAUCGAACCCAGCGAUGGAACCGUCUUUUUCGAUUUCAGUUUUGCCGUUUUCUGCAGUGAUUUUGUCCUCCAUUUCUGCUUGUUCUUUGUUGUGGGAUCACAGUGGAGAAGGGUGUUCUUUACUCAAAUCAACAACUUUCCUUUGUUGUUCUUUACAUGGUAUAAGGGUGUUCGAUCUGCCUCAGAUGUCGAGAAAACUGCUCAGUCUGGUAAUCUUCUCUCAGUAGUUUCUUUUUCUCAUUCUCUGAUCAGAGAAAUGGACUGCUUAUAUACAAUUGUAAGGGUUAAUCGCCAAACAAAUCACCAUCUUAGACCCAUAUUUGUAAUUUAGACGCUAGUUUUGAAGCGUUUCUAUAAUGACUACCACUUUUUGAUUUGUAGCAAUUUCAGUCCUCCCAAUCUUCUCAGCGAACUUGGUCGGUGAAACGAUGUCUAUUUCACCGCUGAAACGAGGUCGUUUUGAUGCUUAAAAAAUUGGGGAUGUGGAUAUUGCUACAAAUUAAAAGGUGGAGUCAUUAAUGAAACAUUUCAAAAGUAGCAUAAAUUGCAAAAUGGGUCAAAAGAGGAUAUUUAUUUGACAGUUAACACUAAUUUUAGUGGGUGCAGAACUCAAACACUUUGCUGACAAUUUCUUAUUAGUCUAUACCUAAUAGAAGAUCCAAUAAAAUCAUACAUUUAAUGACAAUCAUUAAAUGCGUCUUAUUAGUAAGCAAUGCUGGUUCGAGUUGGGGAAUAUCUUCGAUAUUUGGCGGAAAUGACAAUCAUACAUCACCUAAAGAGAACUCGACCAGCAAUCCAUUUAAUGAACCUGUUCAAAGCAUGGAACAGAGAAUGUCGAUGAUCCAUUUGAGAGAGGUACUCGGUCAAAGUAUUAUUUCUAGCAAAAUUAAACUAUUAAUAUCUGUAGUAAAAUUUGUAAUAUGUUUUGAUGGAUUAAUUUCUUUUUAAUUUUGUGAAAGCCCCCUAGUGUGUUGAGGUCGUCAGAACCUGACUCAGACGAAAAGACCAUUGAGAUUACUGCUACAAAGUUGUUACUGAGGUCGUAUUAUGAUAUUGUGCGGAAAAGCAUUCAGGAUUACGUACCAAAAGCCAUUAUGCAUUUUCUGGUAAUUGCUUUUCAUUUCUGGGGUUUAUUUUUUUCCUUAGUUUUAGUUUGCGGUGUUGGAGAGAUAUGAUCGGGCAUAGUUGGCCAUACAUAGUGGGAGAAAGGCUUACUUCUUUCUAGUAGUAGUCGUCUACUCCUUUGUUUUGCCCACUUCAUUAAAUUCUUAUGCUUUUAUGAUAUCAACCAAUUAGGACCCUUGAUAUCAAGUGGCUGUCCUGCAUGGAAUGUUAGGAACCAACUUUUGUACUCUUUAUAGCUUAAUGAUCUAUAUUCUUCUAUUCCCAUAUUUUUCAUUUUGGUUUCCUCUCUGAUGCAUGGUUUAGCUCUUUUAGCAGUCUGAAAUUCGGCUGUCCUGUUUGCCAUCCCUAAUGGAAUUUGUUUUAAUCCCUUUUUUCGUUUGAAACUUACAGGUAAACCACACAAAGCGAGAGCUUCAUAAUGAAUUCAUAAAAAGAUUGUACAGGUAUAUUCUAUGGUAACAACUUUUUGUAUCGUUAUGCGAUGAAUAGGGCACCGGAUUUAGAUGAUGAAGAGUAAAAUUUGGACCUUUAUGUUGCAAAUGAAAGAAAAGACAUCUAAAUCAACAUGGUCUAGAAGCUAGGUUGAGUGUCCAGGAUGAUAGUGUUAGUUCAUUUUGUUACCCAUUGAACAAUCCCAUUUAAAAUUUAAUUAGUAGGCUUUGAUGAUUAUCUAGUUCUUUGUAAGUUCACAAAUUAUGCUUGUGUUUUGUAAUUUUGUGAGCAGAGAAAACUUGCUUGAAGAGUUGUUGCGGGAGCCAGAUGAGGUUGCCACGAAGAGAAAGCAGACUCAUGAUACACUUAAGGUCCUAGAGCAAGCUUUCCGGGUUAGUGCUUUAUAUUUUUGAGUUGAUGCUCAUGAAAGUGAAAAUUUAUGCCUUUCCUUGAAAUCGACAUUACCUUGAAUUGCACUUUUGGUUGAACUGAAUUGAUUAUGCAGACAAUUGAUGAACUGCCGCUUGAAGCUGAGACUGUUGAGAGAGGCUACUCCUCGAAUAAUGAUCCAACUGGCCUGCCAAGGAUCAAUGGGCUCCUAAGAUCAUCGUUGUACGACAGUGGUUCAACGGAAUCAUAUAGCCCUUCUUCCAAAAACUCAAGAUCACGAAAGUCUAGCGAGCCUCACUCACCAUUAUACUCUGAUACUUAUUAUGGUGGUGGACAUAGUUGUGGCGCUGGCCUAUAUCCAACCAUUGAUAUAUAAGUCUCCAGUAAUGCUUCAGGACAAAUUUUAUAACGAGGCGCAUCCAUAUUUUUGCAGAUCAAGUGCGGUGGACAGGACAGGCAACAUUCUUUACUUACAUCUUAGAACGACUAACAACGUUGACCAUUUUUUCGUCUAAGUGGCGUACGGUAUAGUUGAUUACCUUGAUAUAGAUGAGAGUUGCUUAUGAGAGCUGAAACCGUUUUUAUUUGAUUAUAUAUAUAAGAAGAGAAUGUUUGCAGUUUUUUCAUGUUAUCUUCUCAUAAGUUUCACAUUUCUGUAAACAAAGAAGCAGCACAUUUUUGUACAGCUGGUUAACGCUCUUUUGUUUUUAGCGUAUGCAAUUUUGUCGUUCCAAAUAUUUCUGUGUGGAUUUUGAUUAUUCGAUGAAUUUGGUUGUACUUUAUAUUGCAGGAUCAACUUCUUUUUUUCUUCGUAUGUAAACAGCUACAAUAUGUAAAUGAAUGUUUAUUAUACUUAUGGAUAAUUGGUGUGUGAAUACAUGAACUUUACUCA